RNAcentral lists this ribosomal RNA (466 nucleotides) under uncultured Acholeplasma sp. RNAcentral's name for it is "bacterial SSU rRNA". It matches the Rfam family "Bacterial small subunit ribosomal RNA", at positions 912 to 1382 of the family's 1533-position model. The record is from RNAcentral. Lineage: Bacteria; Bacillati; Mycoplasmatota; Mollicutes; Acholeplasmatales; Acholeplasmataceae.
GACGGGACCCCGCACAAGCGGUGGAUCAUGUUGUUUAAUUCGAUGAUACGCGAAGAACCUUACCAGGUCUUGACAUCCCCCGCGAUGCUUUAGAGAUAAAGCGGAGGUAUUCGGGGAGACAGGUGGUGCAUGGUUGUCGUCAGCUCGUGUCGUGAGAUGUUGGGUUAAGUCCCGCAACGAGCGCAACCCCUAUUGCUAGUUACCAUCAUUAAGUUGGGGACUCUAGCGAGACUGCCAGUGAUAAACUGGAGGAAGGUGGGGAUGACGUCAAAUCAUCAUGCCCCUUAUGACCUGGGCUACAAACGUGAUACAAUGGCUGGAACAAAGGGAUGCGAAGCAGUGAUGUGGAGCGAAACCCAUAAAAACAGUCUCAGUUCGGAUUGAAGUCUGCAACUCGACUUCAUGAAGUCGGAAUCGCUAGUAAUCGCGCAUCAGCCAUGGCGCGGUGAAUACGUUCCCGGGCCUU